RNAcentral lists this ribosomal RNA (630 nucleotides) under uncultured Bacteroidota bacterium. RNAcentral's name for it is "bacterial SSU rRNA". It matches the Rfam family "Bacterial small subunit ribosomal RNA", at positions 62 to 691 of the family's 1533-position model. Lineage: Bacteria; Pseudomonadati; Bacteroidota. The record is from RNAcentral.
UCGAGGGGUAUAAGGAGCUUGCUCCUUAGAGACCGGCGCACGGGUGCGUAACGCGUAUGCAAUCUACCUUUCACAGAGGGAUAGCCCAGAGAAAUUUGGAUUAAUACCUCAUAGUAUAUAUGGAUGGCAUCAUUUGUAUAUUAAAGUCACAACGGUGAAAGAUGAGCAUGCGUCCCAUUAGCUAGUUGGUAAGGUAACGGCUUACCAAGGCGACGAUAGGUAGGGGUCCUGAGAGGGAGAUCCCCCACACUGGUACUGAGACACGGACCAGACUCCUACGGGAGGCAGCAGUGAGGAAUAUUGGUCAAUGGGCGCAAGCCUGAACCAGCCAUGCCGCGUGCAGGAUGAAGCAUCUAUGGUGUGUAAACUGCUUUUGUACGGGAAGAAACAGAGGUUCGUGAACCUCCUUGACGGUACCGUAAGAAUAAGGAUCGGCUAACUCCGUGCCAGCAGCCGCGGUAAUACGGAGGAUCCAAGCGUUAUCCGGAAUCAUUGGGUUUAAAGGGUCCGUAGGCGGUUUGGUAAGUCAGUGGUGAAAGCCCAUCGCUCAACGGUGGAACGGCCAUUGAUACUGCCAGACUUGAAUUACUAGGAAGUAACUAGAAUAUGUAGUGUAGCGGUGAAAUGCUU